Molecule: long non-coding RNA, 356 nt
Organism: Hippopotamus amphibius kiboko
Lineage: Eukaryota; Metazoa; Chordata; Mammalia; Artiodactyla; Hippopotamidae
Exons: 3
Source: RefSeq, a predicted model, not a curated record
UGUCAGGUGCAAGAGUCACCAGCCAUGCCUGGCCACUGAGAGCGAAGCCUGGCCAGUCCAAAGCAAGAGUGCUGCAAGGAAAACAUGCCAGAUUUCGAAGACUUGGUACAAGGGAAAGAAGAGGUGAACAAUGAGCUACCUGAGACUUCGGCAAGGCAGGAUGGUGGCUAAGGGGAUGGAUUCCAAGCCAGACUCCAUGGGUUUGAAUCCUGGCUCAGUCACUUCCUAGCUGUGUGCCUUUGGGUGUUAAUACAGGAGUACCUACCAGCAUGUCAGAGUCUUGAAACGUGCAACGAGGAAGGAGCCCCAGGGAGGUGAAGCGAAGAGCCAGCCUGUGGGCGGUCUCGGCGUCCAGC